GCCCCUGUGGCGGAAUGGUAGACGCGGCAGACUCAAAAUCUGUUGGUGGCAACACCGUGCUGGUUCGAGUCCGGCCAGGGGCACCA
Molecule: transfer RNA, 86 nt
Filed under: Alphaproteobacteria bacterium
Lineage: Bacteria; Pseudomonadati; Pseudomonadota; Alphaproteobacteria
Description: tRNA-Leu
Rfam family: tRNA
About the family: Transfer RNA (tRNA) molecules are approximately 80 nucleotides in length.
Source: RNAcentral